Molecule: ribosomal RNA, 547 nt
Filed under: Lepetodrilus sp. associated gamma proteobacterium
Lineage: Bacteria; Pseudomonadati; Pseudomonadota; Gammaproteobacteria
Description: bacterial SSU rRNA
Rfam family: Bacterial small subunit ribosomal RNA
Source: RNAcentral
GCAAGUCGAACGGUAACAGGCAGAGCUUGACUCUGUGCGACGAGUGGCGGACGGGUGCGUAACACGUAGGAAUCUGCCUAGUAGUUGGGGAUAGCCCGGAGAAAUCCGGAUUAAUACCGAAUACGAUCUACGGAUGAAAGGGGGCCUCUUCUUGAAAGACUCUCGACUAUUAGAUGAGCCUGCGUCGGAUUAGCUAGUUGGUGGGGUAAUGGCCUACCAUGGCAACCGAUCCGUAGACUGGUCUGAGAGGACGAUCAGCCACCACUGGGACUGAGACACGGCCCAGACUCCUACGGGAGGCAGCAGUGGGGAAUAUUGGACAAUGGGCGAAAGCCUGAUCCCAGCAUGCCGCGUGUGUGAAGAAGGCCUGCGGGUUGUAAAGCACUUUCCAAUUGUGAAGAAAUGCUUAAGGUUAAUACCCUGAGUCUUGACGUAACUUAGAAGAAGCACCGGCUAAACCCUGUGCCAGCACCCGCGGUAAUACAGGGGGUGCAAGCGUAAAUCGGAAUACUGGGCGUAAGAGUGCCUAGGCGUACUAAGUAAUGUA